Molecule: ribosomal RNA, 465 nt
Filed under: uncultured bacterium
Lineage: Bacteria
Description: partial 16S ribosomal RNA
Rfam family: Bacterial small subunit ribosomal RNA
Source: RNAcentral
CCUACGGGAGGCUGCAGUGGGGAAUAUUGCGCAAUGGGCGAAAGCCUGACGCAGCGACGCCGCGUGAGGGAUGAAGGUCUUCGGAUCGUAAACCUCUGUCAGCAGGGAAGAACGGUCACUGUGCUAAUCAGCAGUGAAUUGACGGUACCUGCAAAGGAAGCACCGGCUAACUCCGUGCCAGCAGUCGCGGUAAUACGGAGGGUGCUAGCGUUAAUCGGAAUUACUGGGCGUAAAGCGCUCGUAGGCGGUAUGUCAAGUCAAGGGUGAAAUGCCGGGGCUCAACGUGGGAACUGCCUUUGAAACUGGCAGACUGGAGUGUGUGAGAGGAGAGUGGAAUUCCAGGUGUAGGAGUGAAAUCCGUAGAUAUCUGGAGGAACAUCGGUGGCGAAGGCGACUAUCUGGCACAUAACUGACGCUGAGGAGCGAAAGCGUGGGUAGCAAACAGGAUUAGAUACCCGAGUAGUC